GACAGAGGGUGCAAACGUUGUUCGGAAUUACUGGGCAUAAAGCGCACGUAGGUGGUCCGCUAAGUCGCGUGUGAAAUCCCCCGGCUCAACCGGGGAAAUGCGCGUGAUACUGGCGGGCUUGAGAUCGGGAGGGGUGAAUGGAACUCCAGGUGGAGCGGUGAAAUGCGUAGAUAUCUGGAGGAACACCGGUGGCGAAAGCGGUUCACUGGCCCGACACUGACACUGAGGUGCGAAAGCUGGGGUAGCAAACGGG
RNAcentral lists this ribosomal RNA (253 nucleotides) under uncultured bacterium. RNAcentral's name for it is "partial 16S ribosomal RNA". It matches the Rfam family "Bacterial small subunit ribosomal RNA", at positions 524 to 776 of the family's 1533-position model. The record is from RNAcentral.